GAUGAACGCUGACAGAAUGCUUAACACAUGCAAGUCAACUGUGGCGGACGGGUGAGUAACGCGUAAAGAACUUGCCUCACAGAUAGGGACAACAUUUGGAAACGAAUGCUAAUACCUGAUACUGUGAGAGAGUUUUGCGUCCCAUGAGCUAGUUGGGGAGGUAACGGCUCACCAAGGCGAUGAUGGGUAGCCGACCUGGGAGGGUGAUCGGCCACAAGGGGACUGGGACACGGCCCUUACGCCUACGGGAGGCAGGAGUGAGGAACAUUGGACAAAAGACCAAAGUCUGAUCCAGCAAUUCGGUGUGCACGAUGAAGUUUUCGGAAUGUAAAGUGCUUUCAGUUGGGAAGCGGUACCAACAGAAGAAGUGACGGCUAAAUACGUGCCAGCAGCCGCGGUAAUUC
This 404-nucleotide ribosomal RNA is filed under the name uncultured bacterium. Its description in RNAcentral is "partial 16S ribosomal RNA". It matches the Rfam family "Bacterial small subunit ribosomal RNA", at positions 28 to 526 of the family's 1533-position model. The record is from RNAcentral.